RNAcentral lists this ribosomal RNA (1343 nucleotides) under uncultured bacterium. Its description in RNAcentral is "16S ribosomal RNA". It matches the Rfam family "Bacterial small subunit ribosomal RNA", at positions 28 to 1378 of the family's 1533-position model. The record is from RNAcentral.
GACGAACGUUGGCGGCGUGCUUAACACAUGCAAGUCGAACGGAAAGGCCCUGCUUUUGUGGGGUGCUCGAGUGGCGAACGGGUGAGUAACACGUGAGUAACCUGCCCUUGACUUUGGGAUAACUUCAGGAAACUGGGGCUAAUACCGGAUAGGAGCUCCUGCUGCAUGGUGGGGGUUGGAAAGUUUCGGCGGUUGGGGAUGGACUCGCGGCUUAUCAGCUUGUUGGUGGGGUAGUGGCUUACCAAGGCUUUGACGGGUAGCCGGCCUGAGAGGGUAACCGGCCACAUUGGGACUGAGAUACGGCCCAGACUCCUACGGGAGGCAGCAGUGGGGAAUAUUGCACAAUGGGCGGAAGCCUGAUGCAGCAACGCCGCGUGCGGGAUGACGGCCUUCGGGUUGUAAACCGCUUUCGCCUGUGACGAAGCGUGAGUGACGGUAAUGGGUAAAGAAGCACCGGCUAACUACGUGCCAGCAGCCGCGGUGAUACGUAGGGUGCGAGCGUUGUCCGGAUUUAUUGGGCGUAAAGGGCUCGUAGGUGGUUGAUCGCGUCGGAAGUGUAAUCUUGGGGCUUAACCCUGAGCGUGCUUUCGAUACGGGUUGACUUGAGGAAGGUAGGGGAGAAUGGAAUUCCUGGUGGAGCGGUGGAAUGCGCAGAUAUCAGGAGGAACACCAGUGGCGAAGGCGGUUCUCUGGGCCUUUCCUGACGCUGAGGAGCGAAAGCGUGGGGAGCGAACAGGCUUAGAUACCCUGGUAGUCCACGCUGUAAACGGUGGGUACUAGGUGUGGGGUCCAUUCCACGGGUUCCGUGCCGUAGCUAACGCUUUAAGUACCCCGCCUGGGGAGUACGGCUGCAAGGCUAAAACUCAAAGGAAUUGACGGGGCCCCGCACAAGCGGCGGAGCAUGCGGAUUAAUUCGAUGCAACGCGUAGAACCUUACCUGGGUUUGACAUGGAUCGGGAGUGCUCAGAGAUGGGUGUGCCUCUUUUGGGGUCGGUUCACAGGUGGUGCAUGGCUGUCGUCAGCUCGUGUCGUGAGAUGUUGGGUUAAGUCCCGCAACGAGCGCAACCCUUGUUCACUGUUGCCAGCACGUUAUGGUGGGGACUCAGUGGAGACCGCCGGGGUCAACUCGGAGGAAGGUGGGGAUGACGUCAAGUCAUCAUGCCCCUUAUGUCCAGGGCUUCACGCAUGCUACAAUGGCUGGUACAGAGAGUGGCGAGCCUGUGAGGGUGAGCGAAUCUCGGAAAGCCGGUCUCAGUUCGGAUUGGGGUCUGCAACUCGACCUCAUGAAGUCGGAGUCGCUAGUAAUCGCAGAUCAGCAACGCUGCGGUGAAUACGUUCCCGGG